UUUCCGUAGGUGAACCUGCGGAAGGAUCAUUAAAGAUUUGGCCCUUGGGCCUAAAUCCACCUCUUUGGCUGUGCGCCUUUGGGCUGCACGCCAUCGAGUAACCCCUCACACACCAUGUGCACCCACAUUUGGUUGCGGCAGGUCCUUAGGGAUCGGCCGCUCCCAAAACAAUUUACAUACAACAAGUCCAGAGUGUAACAAAACUAUAAAGUAACAACUUUCAACAACGGAUCUCUUGGCUCUC
RNAcentral lists this unclassified non-coding RNA (244 nucleotides) under soil metagenome. Its description in RNAcentral is "partial contains small subunit ribosomal RNA, internal transcribed spacer 1, and 5.8S ribosomal RNA". The record is from RNAcentral.